UACGUAGGUGACCAGCGUUGUCCGGAUUUACUGGGCGUAAAGAGCGCGCAGGCGGUCGUUCAAGUCGAGUGUGAAAGCCCCCGGCUCAACUGGGGAGGGUCACUCGAUACUGAUCGACUGGAAGGCAGGAGAGGGAAGCGGAAUUCCCGGUGUAGUGGUGAAAUGCGCAGAUAUCGGGAAGAACACCCGUGGCGAAGGCGGCUCUCUGGGACGGUACUGACGCUGAGACGCGAAAGCGUGGGGAGCGAACAGG
Molecule: ribosomal RNA, 253 nt
Filed under: uncultured bacterium
Lineage: Bacteria
Description: partial 16S ribosomal RNA
Rfam family: Bacterial small subunit ribosomal RNA
Source: RNAcentral